RNAcentral lists this ribosomal RNA (253 nucleotides) under uncultured bacterium. Its description in RNAcentral is "partial 16S ribosomal RNA". It matches the Rfam family "Bacterial small subunit ribosomal RNA", at positions 524 to 776 of the family's 1533-position model. The record is from RNAcentral.
GACGUAGGGCGCGAGCGUUGUCCGGAAUCAUUGGGCGUAAAGAGCGUGUAGGCGGUCCGGUAAGUCCGCUGUGAAAGUCGGGGGCUCAACCCUCGAAUGCCGGUGGAUACUGUCGGGCUAGAGUGCGGAAGAGGCGAGUGGAAUUCCUGGUGUAGCGGUGAAAUGCGCAGAUAUCAGGAGGAACACCUAUUGCGAAGGCAGCUCGCUGGGACGUUACUGACGCUGAGACGCGAAAGCGUGGGGAGCAAACAGG